CCCCAGCUAAGAAGUUCUGUCGGGGAUGGAGGACUUUUUCCAAGCCUUUGUUUUGGUGGAGUCUCUGUGCAUGGCCUGAUGUGAUGAGCCAUUCGGAAGUGCUGGCUUCUGUGACUUGCAGAUCAGUGCACCCUAAAUGCCUUGCUCCUCCAAGUGGUCCCAGCAGCGUCACCAUGGGGAGCUUGUGGGAAAUGCAGACUCUGAGGCUCUGUUCCUUAACAAGAUACCCAGCAACUGCGGAUUCUCCAGACAGCAGCUUCUCCAUCAAUCUGGGGUCUUGAAGAUACCUGUUUAUGGACCUGAAGUAUAAAGUAAAAACAAACCUUUAUUGUUUUAGGCCACUGAGACUUGGAGAGGCUCAUGAUCUAACUGGCCUUGAUGGACACAGCCAGGGGAUGUUCCUUUGGAUUUUUCCUUGAUCUUUGCUCUCUUAUUUUUCAGACUGUUCUCAAAUCCCCUCCUCAGAAAGGUCCUCUCUGUCCAUUUCCCCGGAGCCACUUUCAAUUUUGUUUCCUGCUUUUUUUUUUUUUUUUUUUAAAUAGUGAUUACUGCCUUCUGA
Long non-coding RNA from Rhinopithecus roxellana (golden snub-nosed monkey), 559 nucleotides. RefSeq lists it as uncharacterized. NCBI's taxonomy places the organism in Eukaryota, Metazoa, Chordata, Mammalia, Primates, Cercopithecidae. The record is from RefSeq and is a predicted model, not a curated record. The transcript is spliced from 3 exons.